Molecule: non-coding RNA, 836 nt
Organism: Styela clava
Lineage: Eukaryota; Metazoa; Chordata; Ascidiacea; Stolidobranchia; Styelidae
Source: RefSeq, a predicted model, not a curated record
CUAUUUCUACACUAAUUUUCAUUAAUGCAAUUGAAUUGAAACUCCUGGGAAGACAGAGUGAUCAUUGAAUUAUCUGAUUUAUAUUUAAGUUUCCGAAACACAACUGCAAACUAACAAUCGAGUUUAAAAACGCGAAAGCGAGGUAAUGUUUACAACCACGCUUGAAAAUCUGUCUGAGUGAGAAAAGUGUCUGAGCGGAAGCGAAAAGGGGGCUUUGUUACGUCACUUUUUGCAUCUUGCUGAUUGGCAAAUGUCACGAAGUAAACAAGAAAGUCGAUGCUCGGGGAAAGGUCCAUGUGCGCUGGCUUCAGUGAGCAAAAUUUAUCCAGCUAUACUCUAGGUGGAAAUGAAGAACAGAAAACGCUAACACGACUUUUAGACUAUUUGUCAAUGACUACAAGAACAUUCUUCAUAAUUGUACCGUAUACUGGGAAUUUUUUGUGCAGUACUUUACAAAAUGUAAUGUUGACCAUAACAAGUGUUAAUGUUAGUAAACAAGUCCAUACUAAACACGACUCCAGACCAGAUUAUUCAGCCGCGUGGAGGCAACAUGCAGCGUAUCCAUGACGACUAGAUUUUAAUUUCCGGCAAAAUACUGUCUCCACAUUCCUUCGAAGAUGGACAUAUGCGAGAAUUUGAUGCAUAUAGCAGCUGUGAUAUCAUGGGUGUAAGAUCAAGGAUUUUGAUUCAAAAGGCAAGUUCAUAAAAAUCGGCAUGUGUGCUUUUUCUGUUCUGCGUGCUUUUCCUGAUUAAUAUGACCAUCAAUAUAAAACGUUAUGCAUAUUUCUUUGUUUAAACUAGAAAACAGUCAAGAACAGUAUAAUUUUCCAGUAAGA